UCUUCUGAAUGCCUUAUAUUUGUAUUUUUGUUGAGUUAACCACGUUUAUGCUUGAAAAUGAUUAAUUUAGGCACCUUGUAGACUUGAAAUAACACACCAAUGCAGUUAUUAAUCUUUGUUUACACUACAUUGCUAGGCUAUUGGAUCACUGCCGGGACAAAAGACGACUUAGCUGCAACCAUUAGCAUGUUAACUAGUUAGCCUCCAAUUUAUGUACUGUAUUCUAAAGUUAAGAAAUGGUUGAAAAUGGAGUGGGGAAGAAAGACAAACAAGCCAAAGACUUACCACUUCCACACAGAGUGGGAGGAGAACUUCUUUUCAGACAUGCCAUGGAGUGUGACAGUAAUCUAAUGUCAUGUCUCGAAAGUGGAACAUUACUGACACCUAGAGGACGGAAUGUGUUGAUUUUGUGAUUUUUGUGUUUGUUUAGGCUGCUGGAGAUCAAGAACAGGACCAGUCAAAUCAGAGUGGACAUUGAACAAUUGGAACAGGAGUCUGGCAAGCUCAAGGUGCUGUUCACAUCGUGAGAUGUUCAAGCACAACUACGAGUGGCUCUCUGCUCCUCUGUGUUGAGGACUUGAUGGAGAACUGUAGCUCUCUGAUGAGGUUUCACCAAACGUGUCCAGACCAGAACCCUCAACUGCAACCAAACCUGUAUAUUGUCUGUACUUAGAUAACGCGUCACACUCACGUCCAGCUCCUGAGCUAACGGUGCGGAAGUGACAAAGUGUGUCCGACAAUGAGUGCUCCUCCUCGGGCAGGCGAGUUGAAGGCAGCUCCUGAGCUCCGCACCAGUGGAGGCUACGUUACCAUUCAUACACGGUAAGUCUUCAACCGGUAGCUCAUGAGCCACCAGUAGCUCCUAACCACUAUUAAGUAAAUGGUUUAUUCAUCAACUCCAAUACCGACAAAAUUAGAAACAAAAUUGGAGCGCUGGAGAGUGUGACCAAUCAAAGCGAAGCGGAGGUUGGCCGUGGGUGGA
Doryrhamphus excisus (bluestripe pipefish) is the source of this 982-nucleotide non-coding RNA. Lineage: Eukaryota; Metazoa; Chordata; Actinopteri; Syngnathiformes; Syngnathidae. The record is from RefSeq and is a predicted model, not a curated record.